UUAAGGUAACGAAUGAACUCGGUAUGAUAAUGAGAUCAUAAUGAGCUGAUACGUCAUGACAGUUGCUCCGCCUUGAUCAAUCCAUAUUUGGAUACACAUACACAAACUCUAAUUUUAGGAUCAUAUAAAAAUAUAUCGGAAUAUUGCCUUUAUUCUACGCUUAAAAUAAGUCAAAUUUCCAUGAUUUGACAACACAUCACAAGGCAUUAUAAUGAGAAAUGCCCCGGUGAAGUUUGUCGUAUGGUUGGAAUCAGCGUCUAAAAUGCGCUUACUAGGCACAUGGCAAAGACGACGCGACGUUCAGAAGAUGUCAGCUGUACUACUUUGAAAUCGGAAAAAUCAAGGUAAAUUCUUGUAAUUGAAAUAAUGAUGUAUGAAUACCUGAAACCAAAGUUGUCAACAAUGAAAGUAGACAACAUUUACAUUGACUCAAUACUUUAGAGGUAGUAUAUACAUAGUUUGAUGUUCUUUGUUUACAUACUGCACACGUCACACGUAGCCGAUGUGUAGCAAAAUAGGUGCACACACGCAAAAUGGGGUUAAAGAACUGAUGCUCAAAUGGUACCAGUUGUUGUUUGUUUAUAUAAACAUGAUUUACAUGAGUACAGGCGGGUAUCUAGGCAGUAAAAUCCACAGGCACCUAAAGUAUGGAUAUUACAAUCAUGUACUUAACCCCCCUCCCCCUCUUUCUUUUGAUUUUUUUUCUUGCUAUAAUUUCUCUGAAAUAAGUAAAUUCCCUGUCUACCUCAUCCUUCUUUCGAUUCAAGUAAUCCUUUCACGCUUUUUGUAAGCUUCUACCGGUAUGAUUUAAUUUAUUUAUUGAUCCACCAAGCAUGUAGGCAUACAAUCAUUUUACACAAUAUGAGAUAUGUAUAAUGAUGACAAACUAAAUACUAAUAGUUCAUAUGCAUAUUUGUAAAGACGUUUAUAUAUAUUUGGCAUGUACAUAUGACGUCAAACUGUAUAUAUAAUUUAGCAUUGCAUGUAUAACAUUAGCAACCUAUAAUUUAUUACAAAAUUUGUGCUCAUUUUUUUUUAUACCCGGACAAGGCCAAUCUCUAAAGCUUACAAAAAGUGUGAAACGAUUACAGUACUUUAAAAAUCGAAAUAGAAAUGAGUUAGACCGGGAAUCAACACAUUUCAGAUUUAUCGCUGCAAAAAAUAUUUUCAAAAAUGGGGGUGGUGGGGUGGUGGUGGCGCAAGUAUCAGUGUAUCAGGUAUCUGUGGUAAUAUCUUGUACAAAUGCACGUGUAACUACAUUAAUUUUGAUGCUCUAGAUUUACAGUCACAUUUAAUUUUAUCAAGUGACAUACCAGAAAAAAAAUAAACUUGGGAUAUUUUCGCUUACAUUACAGUUUGAAUAAAUGGAAGAAAAAUAAAAGACCCUGAAUGCAUACUGAUUACCCACAUUUUUUAUGUGUAUUUAAGACCCUUCUUUAAUACAUUGAAUAUUUGCGGCAUAUGUAUUUAUAAUAUGAGAUAAUGCUAUUUACAGAUGUGCAUGAUACCAACAAGAAUGUGAACUUUUCAAAGAAUAUGAUAUUUCCAAUUUUCCACAUCUCUAGACCAGUGACCACAAAUGUACAUACAAGUACCCACAGAUGACAGCCAUAUUGACUCCAGUAGAUAAUAUUCAUCUCCAUCAGCUGGUUGCUACGCUGUACAUAGUGGUCAAACCAGGAUAUCCACUAAUUGCAUUCAGUGAUGUGAAUUGUCAUCUACAUUUGUGCUUAUGAACUUUAGUAAAUUGUCAAGUUUUAAUAUGAAGAAAAUGACUGCUGAAAAAGCAUCUAAUCUUGUGUUCUAUGAAUGUUUUCAAUUAAACACAAAACAAAAUGAGAAAUAGUUUUAUUGAAACUUAAUUGAAAUUCACUUUGAAUUACUUUGCAUUGACUGAGUACUUCAAAUUUUAAUCUUUCUACAAUUUCAUGGUCAAGUGAUAAAAAGUAUUUGAGAGUGAAGGGGGGGGGGGUGUCAUAUGAAGUAAAAAGAUUGACACUCAUUUGGUGAACUAGAUAUUUUACACACUGCAUCCACUUAUCUUUAUGUUCAAUAAUGAAUUAAGAAUAUUUCUUAACACUGGGAAAAUAUACCCCCUCCCCAAGUAGUGGAGGAGUAUGUGUCACUUCUGGUUUUCCAGUAGCUUGUAUGAUGGCUGUAUUCUAGAUACAUAUUUUGUUGAAAGCAAUUUUGAUUUUCAAGUUGUCACCUUAAACUAUUUCUAAAAGAAAUCCAACUCGAGUCAUUAAGUAUUCCCACGGAUUUUUUUUUAUAUACACAGUGAUAUAAUACAAAUAUUCAUUGUAGAACAAGAUACAUAUACCCCCCUCCACCUCAUUAUGUAUGUUUCAUUGCAAGAGCAGAUGCUGCAUGGGUCCAGACUCCUACCCAAACCCACUCAAUUUGAAAAGUAAUAACUCCAUGACAUUUUAAUCGUUUUUAAAACUAUCAAAUUAAGUUAUCCUCUUCCCUAAACUGUGUUUCAUUGCAAGAGCAGCAUGGGUCCAGAUAUAGACAACCACCCUUCAACAGUGUUUCAUGAAAACAUACAUGUAGUGUAUCAUAUUUUUGUAUAUAUUCUACAUCUAUUUAGUAGAUACUGCAUGUUUGUAACCUUGUUUAGACACCCCCACCCCCAAUGCAGGGAUUGACACCCGAGACUAUAUUGCUGGAUCAGCGCAUGAUUUGCACCGCGAAUCGUCAGUUACAAAUUACGCACUGAGUUCGAUCUGUUAUUAAGUUCAGAAAUAUAAGAACUUGCUGUACUAAUGGCCAUCACGUAUGAUGUGUUCGAGGUAAUGCAGAUAAUUCAACACCGCACCGAUCUCUGUGAAAUUAAAUGCAUACUUCUUUGCAUCAGA
Ostrea edulis (European flat oyster) is the source of this 2861-nucleotide long non-coding RNA. RefSeq lists it as uncharacterized. The record is from RefSeq and is a predicted model, not a curated record. NCBI's taxonomy places the organism in Eukaryota, Metazoa, Mollusca, Bivalvia, Ostreida, Ostreidae. The transcript is spliced from 2 exons.